RNAcentral lists this small RNA (264 nucleotides) under Nannospalax galili (Upper Galilee mountains blind mole rat). RNAcentral's name for it is "Metazoan signal recognition particle RNA (ENSNGAG00000006913.1)". The record is from RNAcentral. Lineage: Eukaryota; Metazoa; Chordata; Mammalia; Rodentia; Spalacidae.
GCCGGGCAUGGUGGUGCAUGCCUUUAAUCCCAGCACUCGGAAGGCAGAGGCAGGUGGAUCUCUGUGAGUUCAAGGCCAGCCUGGUCUACAUAGUGAGUUCCAGGACAGCUGGGGCUACAGAGAGACCCUGUCUCAAAAAGACCCCCUCAAGAAAAACAAAUUUUGUUUUGUUUUCUGAGACGGGGUCUCACUAUAGCCCCAGCUGUCGUGGAACUCACUAUGUAGAUCAGGCUGGCCUUUGAACUAACUCACAGGCCUGCCUCU